CCUACGGGAGGCAGCAGUGGGGGAUAUUGCACAAUGGGGGAAACCCUGAUGCAGCGACGCCGCGUGGGCGAAGAAGUAUUUCGGUAUGUAAAGCCCUAUCAGCAGGGAAGAAGAAAUGACGGUACCUGAGUAAGAAGCACCGGCUAAAUACUUGCCAGCAGCCGCGGUAAUACGUAUGGUGCAAGCGUUAUCCGGAUUUACUGGGUGUAAAGGGAGCGCAGGCGGCACGGAAAGCCUGAUGUGAAAGCCGGGGGCCCAACCGGGGAACGGCAUGGUGAACUACCGGCCUGAGGGGCGGGGGGGGAAGGGGAAGUCCCAGUGUAGCGGUGAAAUGCGUAGAUAAUUGGAGGAACACCAGUGGCGAAGGCGGCCUACUGGACGGUGACUGACGCUGAGGCUCGAAAGCGUGGGGAGCAAACAGGAUUAGAUACCCGAGUAGUC
This 441-nucleotide ribosomal RNA is filed under the name uncultured bacterium. RNAcentral's name for it is "partial 16S ribosomal RNA". It matches the Rfam family "Bacterial small subunit ribosomal RNA", at positions 338 to 795 of the family's 1533-position model. The record is from RNAcentral.